Pollicipes pollicipes is the source of this 364-nucleotide long non-coding RNA. RefSeq lists it as uncharacterized. Lineage: Eukaryota; Metazoa; Arthropoda; Thecostraca; Pollicipedomorpha; Pollicipedidae. The record is from RefSeq and is a predicted model, not a curated record. The transcript has 3 exons.
UUCGCCCCCUUUUCAUGGCGCGAAAUGAUAACAAGUUUGAUACGACCCACCCCUCCGAUUUCCAAGAUAAAAAAGCGGUUACAACAUUCUGCAUUUCUGGCGAACGCGGCGUUGCCGGAUGUAACAGAUGUAACUGUGUACGUCACGGCUGGGCUUGUACCUACAUUAACUGCCCGUCAUAUAAGCAUAAAGGAGCGGUACCGUGUCGGCUGGCAAGAGACCUGUCACUGUGCCGUUAAAUAUCUUCGGCACUGCUUCGGCAGCUUCAGCUGGAAUUGCAAGAGAACAGCCACCACUUUCAGAGGCAGCUUUGGAGCUGGUAAUGGGAGUUUCUGAACGUGUGAAAAAUCCGCGCACAAAAAAA